GAUCCUGGCUCAGGAUGAGCGCUAGCUACAGGCUUAACACAUGCAAGUCGAGGGGCAGCAUGGUCUUAGCUUGCUAAGGCCGAUGGCGACCGGCGCACGGGUGAGUAACACGUAUCCAACCUUCCCGUUACUCUGGAAUAGCCUUUCGAAAGAAAGAUUAAUACCGGAUAGUAUCGAGAGAUUGCAUGAUUACCCGAUUAAAGAUUCAUCGGUAACGGAUGGGGAUGCGUUCCAUUAGG
This 239-nucleotide ribosomal RNA is filed under the name uncultured bacterium. Its description in RNAcentral is "partial 16S ribosomal RNA". It matches the Rfam family "Bacterial small subunit ribosomal RNA", at positions 15 to 245 of the family's 1533-position model. The record is from RNAcentral.